This 280-nucleotide unclassified non-coding RNA is filed under the name uncultured fungus. Its description in RNAcentral is "partial contains 5.8S ribosomal RNA, internal transcribed spacer 2, and large subunit ribosomal RNA". Lineage: Eukaryota; Fungi. The record is from RNAcentral.
AACGCACAUUGCGCCCGCCAGCAUUCUGGCGGGCAUGCCUGUUCGAGCGUCAUUUCGACCCCUCAAGCCCUCCGGCUUGGUGUUGGGGCCUUCUGCAGCGCCUGCUGCAGGCCCCGAAAUACAGUGGCGGGCCCGACGAGACCCCGAGCGCAGUACUUGCUUCUCGCUUAGGGCGUCGCGACGGGCGACCGGCCGUAAAACCCCACAGGUUGCCCCCCCGGGCCCUGUGAUACCCACCAAGGUUGACCUCGGAUCAGGUAGGAAUACCCGCUGAACUUAA